RNAcentral lists this ribosomal RNA (433 nucleotides) under uncultured bacterium. Its description in RNAcentral is "partial 16S ribosomal RNA". It matches the Rfam family "Bacterial small subunit ribosomal RNA", at positions 29 to 507 of the family's 1533-position model. The record is from RNAcentral.
AACGAACGCUGGCGGCAUGCCUAACACAUGCAAGUCGAACGAGACCUUCGGGUCUAGUGGCGCACGGGUGCGUAACGCCUGGGAACCUGCCCUUAGGUUCGGAAUAACUCCCCGAAAGGGGUGCUAAUACCGGAUAAUGUCUUCGGACCAAAGCUUUAUCGCCUUUGGAUGGGCCCGCGUUGGAUUAGCUAGUUGGUAGGGUAAAAGCCUACCAAGGCGACGAUCCAUAGCUGGUCUGAGAGGAUGAUCAGCCACACUGGGACUGAGACACGGCCCAGACUCCGACGGGAGGCAGCAGUAGGGAAUAUUGGACAAUGGGCGAAAGCCUGAUCCAGCAAUGCCGCGUGAGUGAUGAAGGCCUUAGGGUUGUAAAGCUCUUUUACCCGGGAUGAUAAUGACAGUACCGGGAGAAUAAGCUCCGGCUAACUCCGUG